This 253-nucleotide ribosomal RNA is filed under the name uncultured bacterium. RNAcentral describes it as "partial 16S ribosomal RNA". It matches the Rfam family "Bacterial small subunit ribosomal RNA", at positions 524 to 776 of the family's 1533-position model. The record is from RNAcentral.
UACGAAGGGGGCUAGCGUUGUUCGGAAUUACUGGGCGUAAAGCGCGCGCAGGCGGCUAUCCAAGUCAGUGGUGAAAUCUCGGAGCUUAACUCCGAAACUGCAUUCGAUACUGCCGUGCUUGAGGACUGGAGAGGAGACUGGAAUUUACGGUGUAGCGGUGAAAUGCGUAGAUAUCGUAAGGAAGACCAGUGGCGAAGGCGGGUCUCUGGACAGUUCCUGACGCUGAGGCACGAAGGUCAGGGGAGCAAACGGG